Schistosoma haematobium is the source of this 45-nucleotide non-coding RNA. The record is from Rfam. NCBI's taxonomy places the organism in Eukaryota, Metazoa, Platyhelminthes, Trematoda, Strigeidida, Schistosomatidae.
ACCUAUUUGACGAGUCUAAAAUAGGAAGAAACGCGUGUCCUGGAU